UCUCCUGAAGGAACGUUGAAGACGACGACGUUGAUAGGCCGGGUGUGUAAGCGCAGCGAUGCGUUGAGCUAACCGGUACUAAUGAACCGUGAGGCUUAACCUUACAACGCCGAAG
This 115-nucleotide ribosomal RNA is filed under the name Escherichia coli. RNAcentral describes it as "partial 23S ribosomal RNA". The stretch from base 1 to 103 matches the Rfam family "Bacterial large subunit ribosomal RNA", at positions 2823 to 2925 of the family's 2925-position model. The record is from RNAcentral. RNAcentral also lists the same sequence under 75 other names. Lineage: Bacteria; Pseudomonadati; Pseudomonadota; Gammaproteobacteria; Enterobacterales; Enterobacteriaceae.